This 405-nucleotide ribosomal RNA is filed under the name uncultured bacterium. Its description in RNAcentral is "partial 16S ribosomal RNA". It matches the Rfam family "Bacterial small subunit ribosomal RNA", at positions 30 to 526 of the family's 1533-position model. The record is from RNAcentral.
AUUGAACGCUGGCGGCAGGCCUAACACAUGCAAGUCGAGCGGCGGCGGACGGGUGAGUAACGCGUAAAGAACUUGCCUCACAGCUAGGGACAACAUUUGGAAACGAAUGCUAAUACCUAAUACUGUGAGAGAGCUUUGCGGCGCAUUAGCUAGUUGGAGAGGUAACGGCUCACCAAGGCGAUGAUGGGUAGCCGGCCUGAGAGGGUGGUCGGCCACAAGGUGACUGAGACACGGCCAUUACUCCGACGGGAGGCAGGAGUGGGGAAUAGUGGACAAUGGACCAAAGUCUGAUCCAGCAAUUCGGUGUGCACGAUGAAGUUUUCGGAAUGUAAAGUGCUUUCAGUUGGGAAGCGGUACCAACAGAAGAAGUGACGGCUAAAUACGUGCCAGCCGCCGCGGUAAUAC